UAGGAAAAGUCUGAGUUCUGACAGCAGUC
Molecule: non-coding RNA, 29 nt
Filed under: Mus musculus (house mouse)
Lineage: Eukaryota; Metazoa; Chordata; Mammalia; Rodentia; Muridae
Source: RNAcentral